This 468-nucleotide ribosomal RNA is filed under the name uncultured bacterium. RNAcentral's name for it is "partial 16S ribosomal RNA". It matches the Rfam family "Bacterial small subunit ribosomal RNA", at positions 28 to 507 of the family's 1533-position model. The record is from RNAcentral.
GACGAACGCUGGCGGCGUGCUUAACACAUGCAAGUCGAACGGAAAGGCCCUGCUUUUGUGGGGUGCUCGAGUGGCGAACGGGUGAGUAACACGUGAGUAACCUGCCCUUGACUUUGGGAUAACUUCAGGAAACUGGGGCUAAUACCGGAUAGGAGCUCCUGCUGCAUGGUGGGGGUUGGAAAGUUUCGGCGGUUGGGGAUGGACUCGCGGCUUAUCAGCUUGUUGGUGGGGUAGUGGCUUACCAAGGCUUUGACGGGUAGCCGGCCUGAGAGGGUGACCGGCCACAUUGGGACUGAGAUACGGCCCAGACUCCUACGGGAGGCAGCAGUGGGGAAUAUUGCCCAACGGGCGGAAGCCUGAUGCAGCAACGCCGCGUGCGGGAUGACGGCCUUCGGGUUGUAAACCGCUUUCGCCUGUGACGAAGCGUGAGUGACGGUAAUGGGUAAAGAAGCACCGGCUAACUACGUG